RNA transcript from Pseudoliparis swirei, 2044 nucleotides. It is a transcript of the gene named chromosome 1 C6orf47 homolog, with no coding region annotated. The transcript has 4 exons. NCBI's taxonomy places the organism in Eukaryota, Metazoa, Chordata, Actinopteri, Perciformes, Liparidae. The record is from RefSeq and is a predicted model, not a curated record.
UUGCUAGUCCUAACGAUGGCUGAGGCCGCACCCCGGCUCGCCUCGCCGGUGCCUCCUCGUAAAGGGCUCGGCUGAGCACAAAGCCAAGUUACACGUGGGCGGUCCGUUUUAUUUUGAAGGCUGCUGGUAGUGCGCCGGUGUUCCGCCUCGUGACGCGUUCCGGUGCUCUGUAGUUAGCGGUAGCUGGUCUGGUCGGCCUGAACCUGGUCCACAACGGAACCCUCCGCGUGGUGUCGACACCGGCAGGUGUAAAGGCGAGCGUGUUUCUGGAGACUGGAAAGUUGAACAAGUUUGUCGAUGACGUAAUCGUAUCUGAAGAGAAGCGGAGGUCAGCUCGAACUACCUGCUGAGCGUCGCUGAGCUUCCGGCUGUAGACCUGUCGACAUGUAGCCGCUUCCCUCCGCUGGCUGUGUAUCCCGAGGUGUGUCUCUGACGUCACGCCAACCAGUGUUUCAGCAUCGCGUUCCUCCGGCAGGAUGACCGCCGCGGCCGGCAGGGCGUGGGCCUGGGUCCGCUCGUGGAGCUCCUGGGGGUGGAGACGGCCCAGUGACCCCGUCAGUCCAGCAGAGGAGUUCUGGGAGGCGCAGGAGAAGCUCCAGCCCGCGGAGGGAGAAGUCCUCCGCGCCGGGGAACAGGAGCCGCAGCGGGCGUCCAGGUGGUGGAAUAAAUAUCUCCCAACUUCUUAUCUUUGGUGGCCAAGAAAGCCGGAAGCCGGUGGACUGAGCAGCCGCCAGGGCGCCAGUGAUGCCGACGGGGAGCUCUCUGACUACGGGACGCCUCCUCCGUCUCCCACGCCGUCCUCCUCUCCUUUCAGAGUCUUCGCUCGCAGCCUGGCGGUGGACGUCCUCCCGGAGCACUACGAGAUCUGCUUCAACCUCCUGCGCCACCUGUUUGAUCUGCUCGUGGUGGGCUUCCUGUGGACGGUGUCCCCCCCCGCCAAGCUGGCCCUGGAGGUGCUGGGGGUCCAGGGCGCGCUGCGGCUGUGGCUCCACGGCAUGGCCAUGUUCUUUGUGUCCACCGUUGGCAUGGCGGGGCUGCUCUGGUUGACCCAGGAGUACCUCCCUCAGUUCGCCCUGGUCUACGGCGUCGUCCAGGCGCUGGUGAUCUCCGUGAGCGUUCGUCAGAGUGUGAUCCUCGGCGUGGACCAGGAGGAAGCAGACGUGGAGGAGAAGGAAGACAUGGACGACAGUGUGGAGGCUAAAGAGCAGCCGGUGAAGACCAGUUAAUGCACGAAACAUGGACACCAGAGAGGAGCCGGUCCCCGUCCCCACUGACGCCUCGUUAGUCCUGGUCUCGUUCCCUCGUUCUCAUCGGUCAGUUCUGAGUGAAGCAGCAGCGCUUGCUUGGACAUUCAACGAGCAUCGGCCCGGUGCCCUGGCGUGUUCCUGUCCUCAGGCCGCUGGUUCUGGUCGGUCCGGCGGCAGUGACCGCCUGUUUCCUGUUGGAGAGGGAUGUCAUGCACUCGGUAGAUGCCGUGUCCAGAGGGACGACACCUCAGGGUGCUCAGGGUCUCACCAAGCAGGCGCUGCUGCUUCACUCAGAACUGACCGAUGAGAACGAGGGAACGAGACCAGGACUAACGAGGCCCCGGAGGCCCUGAGGGCUGUGCGGAUCAUCUGCAACGUGAAGAAUAAUGAACACACUGAGCCGCUUUUUAAGAGAUUGGGCAUUCUGAGAUUUACAGAUCUACAUUUGUGUCAGACAGGAAUUUUUAUGUACAGAUUUAUGAAUAAUAAUCUGCCACAUAAUCUGUUACGUAUGUUCACAAGGAACACAAAUGUCUACGAUCACAACACGCGGCUGCGUGGUGGCAUUCAUAUAAAUAAACAUACAGUCGACAUUGUAUUUAAAAGCUUCAUCUGUAGAGGUCCAAAGCUCUGGAGACAAAUUCCGGACGAGGUCAAAUCGGCAUCCAGCAUCAAGGCAUUUGGUUCUCGCCUUAAACGCCAUCUCACUUCAUUUUGAAAGUUUUUAAUAUUGAUUUACAGCCUGGCAGCACAGUACAAUAGAGGAAAAAUAUUUAAAAUAAAAUGUAUAUCCAUAA